This is a non-coding RNA of Pelobates cultripes (western spadefoot toad), 322 nucleotides long. NCBI's taxonomy places the organism in Eukaryota, Metazoa, Chordata, Amphibia, Anura, Pelobatidae. The record is from the annotation of a GenBank genome assembly.
CACGAAUUUCCCCUCCCAAGAUUUUAGUGUGGCUGCUAAUUCGCCCGCCAGUUUUCCGUAAUUGCUUUUGGAAUAGUGCGCUUGGUGAGCCCGAGUAAGGGGACGUUGUCUGUCCUCCAGUCUAAGUUGAAGGUGGCCCGUAGUGCUGUCAUGACAUCCCUGUGUAGGCCCACUCCCAAGGCCUGUUGCUCGCUUAGUCUAGUGGCUAAAAGUCGGCUCGCUUUGUUGCCCUGAGUAUAGCUUGUGGCCUUCAGUUUUUGAAGGUAGAAUUUAGUUUGUUCUAGUGAGUGUUGGUGGAUUUUCCUGGUGAGAUGCAUAAUUU